UCUCCGCCGCUGUCCGCCUCUCCGCCGCGCCGCCGCUGUCCGCCUCUCCGCCGCUGUCCGCCUCUCCGCCGCUGUCCGCCUCUCCGCCACGCCGGCGCUGUGUGCCUUUGCGAGGGCGGAGCUGAGUUCUCCUUUGCACAGACUUCGGAGAUACAGCGAAGGCAGAGCAAUGUUCUCCUCAGCACAGACCCGGGCGGGCGGGCCGGUGGCACCGCGAGGGCGGAGCUGCGUUCUGCUCUGCACAGACCUUGGGGGCACUGCCUCGCUUUGGGACACCUCGGGGCCGCAUCGACGGUGAAUAAAAUCCUUCCUGUUUGCAGCCCUGUUUGUGGUUGGUGGCAGCGAUGGACACUGCAGCCAGCCAGAGCGUAGAAAGGCGUUGGGUGAAAGAAGAUGGCCAUGGAGACAGACAGCAGCAUGGUCAGAGUGGUAGGAGCCGGCCAUCAGCGAGAGCUGCUCCAUGCCUGGCUGCUGGAUGCUAGAGCCUGCGGCCCACUGGCUUGCCUCACUGUGGUUGCUGGUGGUGGUGACAGAGACUGCAGCAUGAACAGAGUGGCUUUUCUGGCUUUGCCUGCCCAGCUGCUCCGUGCCAGGAGGAGGAGGAGACACCUUGAGCCUGCGACACCACGGCUUGCCUCGCUGCGGAUGAAAUGAUAAGAUGACUUGAGAUGAGAUGAAAUGACGAAAUGAUGAGAUGAGAUGAGAUGAUGAGAUGAAAUUUUGAGAUGAAAUGGUGAGUAGAAACGAUGAGAUGAAAUGAUGAGACGAAAUGACAAAAUUGAAAAGAAAUUGAAAGGAGAUGAGAUGAGAUGAAAUGAGAUGAAAUGAUGAGAUGAUGGAUGAAAUGAUGAGAUGAAACGAGAUGAAAUGAUGAGAUGAAAUGAAAUAAUGAAAUGAUAUGAAAUAAUGAAAUUGAAAUGAGAUGAGAUGAGAUGAAAUAAUGAGAUAAAAUGAUGAGAUGAAAUGAGAUGAAUGAUGAGAUGAAAUGAUGAGAUGAAAUGAGAUGAAAAAUGAGAUGAAAUGAAAUAAUGAAAUGAGAUGAAAUGAAAUGAAAUAAUGAAAGGAAAUUAUGAAAUGUAAUGAUGAAAUUGAAAUGAAAUUGAAAUGAGUUGAAAUGAUGAGAUGUAAUGAUGAAAUGAAAUGAUGAGAUGAGAUGAAAUGAGAUGCAAUAAUGAGAUGAAAUGCGAUAACGAGAUGAGAUGAGAUGAAAUCAUGAGAUGAAAUGAUGAAAUGAAAUGAUGGAUGAAAUGAUGAGAUGAAAUGUAAUGAGAUGAAAUGACAAAUGAAAUAAUGAAAUGAGAUGAAAUGAAAUAAUGAAAUGAUGAGAUGAGAAGAAAUGAUGAGAUGAAAUGAUGAAAUGAUGAGAUGAGAUAAAAUGAGAUGAAAUGAUGAGAUGAAAUGAUGAGAUGAAAUGAAAUGAUGAGAUGAGAUGAAAUAUGAGAUGAAAUGACAUAAUGAAAUGAAAUGAUGAAAUGGAAUAAUGAAAUGGAAAUGAUGAGAUGAGAUGCAAUGAGUUGAAAUGAGAUGAAAUGAUGAAAUGAUGAGAUGAAACGAUGAGAUGUGAUGAAAUGAUGACAUGAAAUGAUGACAUAAAAUGAGAUGAAAUGAGAUGUAAUGAUGAAAUGAGAUGAGAUGAAAUGAGAUGAAAUGAUGAGAUGAGAUAAAAUGAUGAUAUGAAAUGAGAUGAGUGAUGAGAUGAAAUGAUGAGAUGAGAUGAUGAGAUGAAAUGAUGAGAUGAACUGAUGAGAUGAAAUGAAAUGAAAUAAUGAAAUUGAAAUAAAAUUGAAAUGAGAUGAAAUGAUAAGAUGAGAUGAUGAAAUAAAAUGAUGAAAUGAUGAGAUGAAAUGAUGAGAUGAGAUGACAUGAAAUAAUGAAAUGAAAUAAUGACAUGAAAUUGAAAUGAGAUGAGAAGAUAUGAGAUGAGAUGAAAUGAUGAAAUGAUAAGAUGAAAAGAGUUGAUGAGAUGAUGAGAUAAAAUGAUGAGAUGAAAGAUGAGAUGAAAUGAUGAGAUGAAAGAUGAGAUGAAAUGAUGAGAUGAAAUGGGAUGAAAUGAAAUUAGACGAAAUGUAAUGAGAUGAAAUGAAAUGACAUAAAUGAAAAAAUGAAAUGAAAUAAUGAAAUGAGGUGAAAUUAAAUGAGAUGAUGAAAUUAAAUGAUGAAAUGAAAUGAUGAAAUGGAAAUGAUGAGAUGAAAUGCCGAGAUGAAUGAUGGAUUUGAAAUGAUGAGAUGCAAUGAUGAGAUGAAAUCAUGAAAUCAUGAGAUGAGAUGAGAUGUAAUGAUGAGAGGAAAUGAUGAGAUGUAAUGAAAUCCCCCGCACUGCAUCCGAUGAAAUGAAAUAAUGCAAGGAAAUUGAAUUGACCCUAUCACCCGGAAUGAGCUAAAAUGAGAUGAAAUAAGAAAUGAUGUUUUGUUUUGUUGACAUGCUGAGGUGAGAUGAGAUGAGAUGAGACGAAAGAUGAGAUGAGAUGAGACGAAACGAUGAGAUGAAAUGAAAGGAAGAGAUGAAAGGCCGAGAUGAAAUGAUGAGAUGAGGUGAGAUGAAAUGAGAUGAAACAAGAUGAAAUGAUGAAAUGAUGAGAUGAGAAGAAAUGAGAUGAAAUGAGAUGAGAUAAAAUGAUGAGAUGAAAUGAAGUGAAAUGAAAUGAAAUAAUGAAAUGAAAUUGAAAUGAGAUGAGAUGAAAUGAGAUAAAAUGAUGAGAUGAAAUGAUGAGAAGAAAUGAGAUGAAAUGAUGAAAUGAUGAGAUGAGAUGAUGAGAUGAAAAAUGAUGAGAUGAAAUGGUGAGAUGAAAUGAAAUGAAAUAAUGAAAUGAGAUGAAAUGAAAAGAAAUGAUGAUAUUGAAAUGAAAUUGAAAGAUGAGAUGAAAUGAAAUGUUGAAAUGAAAUGAUGAAAUGAGAUGUGACAUGAAAUGAUGAGCUGAAAUGAUGAGAUGAAAUGAAGUGAAAUGAGAUUAGAUGAUGAGAUGAAAAAUGAUGAGAUGAAAAAUGAGAUGAAAUGAUGAAUUGAGAUGAGAUGAGAUGAAAUAAUGAAAUUAGGUGAAAUAAUGAAAUGAGAUGAAAUAAUGAAAUGAAAUUGAAAUGAGAUGAGAAGAAAUGAGAUGAAAUGUUGAAAGGAGGAAAUGAUGAGAUGAGGAGAUGAAAUGAUGAGAUGAAAUGAAUUGAGAUGAAAUGAUGAGAUGAAAAAUGAUAUGAAAAAUGAUAUAAAAAAUAUGAGAUGAAAUGAAAUGAGAUGAUAUGAAAUGACAUAAUGAAAUAAAUGAAAUUAGAUGAAAUGAAAUGAAAUAGUGAAAUGAAAUGAUGAAAUGAAAUAAUGAAAAUGAAAUGGAAAUGAGAUGAGAUGAGAUUUGAUGAAAUGAGAUGAUAUGAAAUGAUGGGAUGAGAUGAGAUGAGAUGAAAUGAUGAGAUAAAAUGAUGAGAUGAAAUGAUGAGAUAAAAUGAUGAGAUGAAAUGAUGAGGUGAAGUGAUGCACUGUCACGUGUGUGUCUAUUCUUUUUCCCAACCAACAAAAAUUAUAAAUCAUUAAUUUUUUAUUAUUUAAGAAUAUUCUUAAGAGUUGAAGGAAAAAUAAUAUCUGUACAUUAUGGGUUACAAUGUAAGUAUAAAUAAUACAUAAAUAUAUUAAAACUUACAAAGAAUAUGUUUUGGAAUCGAAUAUACCAUGCUUCUGUGAUGACAGUUAUUUCAUGCUGGUUGUCACAAUUUUACAUGAAAAACUAAUGAAAAAAUGUUUUUAACUGUUUCUAAAAAUAACAGUUUCCAAAACAGUUUUACAUUCGAAAUAUGAAAAAGAUGUCUUUGUGUUCCUUAAUCUGAUGAGAUUUUCACACUCUGCACAUGAUAAUUGUUAGAUUUUUAUUGUGUUGAUAAAUUGUAUAUCAAAAAAUGUUAUUACCUCUUAAAUUAGGAUUUUUAGGUGAUAUAGGCAGAAAGGAAGGCAAGUUUUUAUAACUUUGUCUAAAUGAACUUUGUAAAUGCCUGAGUAUUAAAAGAUAGCAUGUCUAUAAAUCACAAUGUAUAUAUUACUGUAUGACCUAGGACCAAUCAAAACCAUUACCUCUGAUAACAUUAUAUUGUGCCCAGUAUAAAAUAGAUAUAAUAAUACCUCAAACUUAAAUCCAGGCAUUGUCAUUGAAUAUCUUAAGAAUAUGCAGCAAAGGUGCUUUUAAAAAUACAAGCUAGUGAUUGUACUAAAUUUGUAAAUCACAUAGGAUAGUGGGUCAUUUUAAGAAUAUUAUUUCAAUCUAUAAACGUGGAUGUCUUUCCUUUUUUGUGUUUUCUUUAAUUUCUUUCAUUAGUAUUUGUCAUUUUUGUUGUCGAAAUCUUUUACUUCCUUGGUUAAAUUUAUUUCUAAGUACAUUUUUGUAGCUAUUGUAAAAGGAAUUGCUUUCUUAAUUUCUUGUUUCAGCUAGUUUACUAUCAAUAUAUAGAAAUGCUACUGAUUUUUGUAUGUUGAUUUAUAUCCUGCAACUUUAUUAAUUUCAUGUAUCACCCUAAGAAGCUUUUGGUAGAGUCUUAUUUUUUUCCGUGUAUAAGAUCACAUUGUCUUUAAACAGGGACAGUUUGACUGUCUCCUUUCCAAUUCAGAUGUCCUUUAUUUCUUUCUCUCACCUAAUUGUCCUGGCUAAGACUUUCACUAUGUGAAAUAUGAUUGGUGAGAAUAGGCAUCCUUUUCCUGUUCCAGUAAAAUCUUUUUCUUGUUCACAGUAAAAUCUUUCACGUUUUCCACACUCAGUAUGAUCUUAGCUGUAGAUUUGUCCUUUAUGUCCUUCUGUGUUAAGGCAUAUAUUUUCUAUACUAAAUUGUUGAGAGGUUUUUUGUCAUGUAAGAAUAUUUAAUUUUGCCAAACGCUUUUAUUGUGUUUAUUAAUUUAAUCAUAUGGUUUUCAGUAUAUAUCCAAAGGAAAGAAAAUCAGUAUAUCAAAGAGUUACCUGCACCCCCAUGUUUAUUACAGUACUAUUCACAAUAGCCAAGAUAUGGAAUCAACAAAAGUGUCCAUCAACAGAUGAAUGGAUAAAGAAAUGUGACAUACAUAUAUAAUGGAAUAUUAUUUAGUCAUAAUAAAGAACAAAAUCCUGUUAUUUGUGGCAACAAGAAUGCAAGUGGAGGGCAUUAUGUUAGGUGAAAUAAGCCUGGCAUAGAAACAUAAACACCACAUAACUACGUGUUCUCACUUAUGUAUGGAAGCUAAAAUUUUUAAUCCCGUAGAAGUAGAUAGUAGAGUUUUGGUUACCAUAUCCUGGAAAGAGUAGGAGAAAGAAGAGUAUAAGAAAAAUGUGGUUAAUACAUACAAAAUUACAGCUGGAGAGAAGGAAGAAGUUCUAGUUCUCUACAGCACUGUUGGGUGACUGUAGUUAAUGGGAAUUUAUUGUGUGUUUUCAAAUAACUAAAAUAAAAGAUUUUGAAUAUUCUCACUGCAAAGAAAUAAUACAUGAUUUAGGUAAUGGAUAUGAUAAUGACUCUGACUUGAUCUUUACACAUCGUAUAAAUAUAUCAAAAUAUCACUCUGUACCCCAUAACAUGUACAUUUAUUAUAUGUCAAUUAAAGUAAAUUUAAGGGGGAGGAGCCAAGAUGGCCAAAUAGGAACAGCUCCAGUCUACAGCUCCCAGCGUGAGCGACACAGAAGACGGUGAUUUCUGCAUUUCCAUCUGAGGUACCGGGUUCAUCUCACUAGGGAGUGCCAGACAGUGGGCACAGGUCAGUGGGUGCGCGCACCGUGCGCGAGCCAAAGCAGGGCGAGGAAUUGCCUCACUUGGGAAGCGCAAGGGGUCAGGGAGUUCCCUUUCCGAGUCAAAGAAAGGGGUGAUGGACGGCACCUGGAAAAUCGGGUAACUCCCACCCGAAUACUGCGCUUUUCCGAUGGACUUAAAAAACGGCGCACCACGA
This 5881-nucleotide long non-coding RNA is filed under the name Homo sapiens (human). RNAcentral's name for it is "HSALNT0275711". Lineage: Eukaryota; Metazoa; Chordata; Mammalia; Primates; Hominidae. The record is from RNAcentral.